This 458-nucleotide ribosomal RNA is filed under the name uncultured bacterium. Its description in RNAcentral is "bacterial SSU rRNA". It matches the Rfam family "Bacterial small subunit ribosomal RNA", at positions 30 to 480 of the family's 1533-position model. The record is from RNAcentral.
AUUGAACGCUGGCGGCAUGCCUUACACAUGCAAGUCGAACGGUAACGCGGGGCAACCUGGCGACGAGUGGCGAACGGGUGAGUAAUGCAUCGGAACGUACCCAGAAGUGGGGGAUAACGUAGCGAAAGUUACGCUAAUACCGCAUACGUUCUACGGAAGAAAGUGGGGGACCUUCGGGCCUCAUGCUUUUGGAGCGGCCGAUGUCUGAUUAGCUAGUUGGUAGGGUAAAGGCCUACCAAGGCGACGAUCAGUAGCUGGUCUGAGAGGACGACCAGCCACACUGGGACUGAGACACGGCCCAGACUCCUACGGGAGGCAGCAGUGGGGGAAUUUUGGACAAUGGGCGCAAGCCUGAUCCAGCAAUGCCGCGUGAGUGAAGAAGGCCUUCGGGUUGUAAAGACUCUUUGUUCAGGAAGAAACGGGAGUUGGAGUAAUACCUAGUCCUAAUGACGGUACCU